RNAcentral lists this ribosomal RNA (258 nucleotides) under uncultured bacterium. RNAcentral's name for it is "partial 16S ribosomal RNA". It matches the Rfam family "Bacterial small subunit ribosomal RNA", at positions 335 to 552 of the family's 1533-position model. The record is from RNAcentral.
ACUCCUACGGGAGGCAGCAGUGGGGAAUAUUGCACAAUGGGCGCAAGCCUGAUGCAGCCAUGCCGCGUGUGGUUGGAAGAAGGCCUUCGGGUUGUAAAGCCACUUUCAGUUCGUGAGGAAGGUAAGGGUAGUUUUAAAACAGGCCUUGGCCAAUAUUUUUUGAACGGUUUAAGCGGACCGAAAAGGAAAGGAACCCGGGGCCUAACUCCAGUGCCAGCAGCCGCGGUAAUACGGAGGGUGCGAGCGUUAAUCGGAAUU